This 572-nucleotide long non-coding RNA is filed under the name Ictidomys tridecemlineatus (thirteen-lined ground squirrel). RNAcentral describes it as "lncRNA (ENSSTOG00000034138.1)". Lineage: Eukaryota; Metazoa; Chordata; Mammalia; Rodentia; Sciuridae. The record is from RNAcentral.
GGGGCAGCCGGGCCAGGGCCGAGCGGGGCCGCGCGCCUGCUCCUGCUCCUCUCCCCCGGCCUCGAAUGAGCGCUUCCCGGGCUCCCGGAGCUCAGAGGAAGGCGUAGCCAGAGAUCGCUCGCUCCCUCUCCCUCUCCCUCGCUCGCACUCUCCCUGCCCUCCCCCCUUGGUGUUCCUUCCAGCUCAGCCUCCUUCUCAUGCCAUCCCUACGUGCCCAGAGCUUCAAAUACAACCCUCCCAGCACCAGCCCAGGGCACCAAACUUCAGCCAGCCGUCCCUCUGCCUGGAAGUGGUGGCCAUAGGACCCGCAUGACACCCUCUGCUAACCGUGGGCUCCGCCCUGGCAUGUCCCCCUCAACAAACAGACCCGACUGGUGACCUCGUGGAGCUUGAGGUCCAGCAGGAGAGAAGGCAAUGAGAGAAGGACCACACAGGUAAAUUGGAAGGGACAUCAGUGACGAAAUGCUCUGAUCGAAAGGUGCAGAGUUGGGGCUCUGAGUACGUCCCAGGGAGAGACCUGGUGGAGUGCAGUGGUGGGGAGGGGGCUUUCCUGAGGAGGGGGUGCUGCGACU